GUGAUUGUCCUAAAGGUUAGUUUUUUUAAAUCGUAGAAUAUAAAAUUGUAGUGUUUAAUUGUUAAUUUGGAUGCAUUUUUGGGUUCUGAGAUUUUGAGUGAUAUAAUUUGGUGUUGCAGUUGUAGUUGUAAUUGCACCUUCAUGUUGUGUUUAUUAGUUUAGGUUUUUCGUGUAUAGGGAAUAAAAAUAGAGUUAGGGAUACUGCUGUCAUGGAUUUGUUUAGAAAUGUAGUUACUUAUAUGUUUCUGGCUAAUCAUCACAUACAAGAAUAGUUACACUUUGACCCAGGAUUUUCUGAAAGCCUAUACACCAAACUGAACCCUCACCCUGCAACACCAUUGGUACCUCUGUUGCUUGAUGAUCCAAAAACUGCAGGUUUGCUUUGCUGAUGAGGCUUUUGCAAUUGACAAGACUGCUAAAUUCUGCAUUGUCAUAUAUUUGUCCCCC
RNAcentral lists this long non-coding RNA (447 nucleotides) under Vigna radiata. Its description in RNAcentral is "long non-coding RNA (VRAD_LNC017775)". The record is from RNAcentral. Lineage: Eukaryota; Viridiplantae; Streptophyta; Magnoliopsida; Fabales; Fabaceae.